Molecule: non-coding RNA, 54 nt
Organism: Danio rerio (zebrafish)
Lineage: Eukaryota; Metazoa; Chordata; Actinopteri; Cypriniformes; Danionidae
Source: Rfam
CAUGUCCUCAUGUGUAAGUCGCUUUGGAUAAAAGCGUCUACUAAAUGACUAAAU